This 394-nucleotide ribosomal RNA is filed under the name uncultured bacterium. RNAcentral describes it as "partial 16S ribosomal RNA". It matches the Rfam family "Bacterial small subunit ribosomal RNA", at positions 523 to 918 of the family's 1533-position model. The record is from RNAcentral.
AUACGGAGGAUGCGAGCGUUAUCCGGAUUUAUUGGGUUUAAAGGGUGCGCAGGCGGGCGAUUAAGUCAGCGGUGAAAGGCUCGGGCUCAACCGGAGCAGUGCCGUUGAUACUGGUUGUCUUGAAUGCGGUCAAGGCCGGCGGAAUGUGGCGUGUAGCGGUGAAAUGCAUAGAUAUGCCACAGAACACCGAUAGCGAAGGCAGCUGGCCGGGCCUGCAUUGACGCUCAGGCACGAAAGCGUGGGGAUCGAACAGGAUUAGAUACCCUGGUAGUCCACGCUGUAAACGAUGGAUGCCCGCUGUUGGGCCUUUUGGGUUCAGUGGCCAAGAGAAAUCGUUAAGCAUCCCACCUGGGGAGUACGCCGGCAACGGUGAAACUCAAAUGAAUUGACGGGG